AUUUCCUUUCCCGUGUUUUAAUAACUGGGCAACACGGCAGGUAUUAAUAAACCGUAGGCGACGCGACCAGCAUGAGUUUCAGGCAAACAAGUCGGAUCUGACGCUUUCAACAGGAAGUUUGCGCAGAGAUCAGCUGUGCGAGUGCCACAUUUGUGCAGCUGUCCCCAGAUGUUUACACUCACGAUGGAUGACUUGCAGUGAAAGCUUGUCAUUGCGGCUGUGAGAAGGGGUUUCAUUCUUCACAGUCCAAUAAGGCCUUGGAACAAGAGAAAGAGACCAGACUGACCUGUGUCUUCACAGUUACAUAGAAGAGCCCAUUAGGGUUAACAGGGGGGUUAAUUCAAC
Long non-coding RNA from Onychostoma macrolepis, 345 nucleotides. RefSeq lists it as uncharacterized. NCBI's taxonomy places the organism in Eukaryota, Metazoa, Chordata, Actinopteri, Cypriniformes, Cyprinidae. The transcript is spliced from 3 exons. The record is from RefSeq and is a predicted model, not a curated record.